This 54-nucleotide non-coding RNA is filed under the name Diaphorina citri (Asian citrus psyllid). The record is from RNAcentral. Lineage: Eukaryota; Metazoa; Arthropoda; Insecta; Hemiptera; Psyllidae.
GUCCAACUGAUGAGUCCAAAAAAUAAAAAUAAGGACGAAACACGUGUCUGGGGC